RNAcentral lists this ribosomal RNA (415 nucleotides) under uncultured soil bacterium. RNAcentral's name for it is "bacterial SSU rRNA". It matches the Rfam family "Bacterial small subunit ribosomal RNA", at positions 26 to 450 of the family's 1533-position model. The record is from RNAcentral.
AGAUUGAACGCUGGCGGCAUGCCUAACACAUGCAAGUCGAACGGGAGUAGCAAUACUCUAGUGGCGGACGGGUGAGGAAUACGUAGGAAUUUGCCCUUAAGUGGGGGAUAACCCGGGGAAACCCGGAUUAAUACCGCAUGACCUCGAAAGAGCAAAGUCGGGGGAUCGCAAGACCUCACGCUUUUGGAGAAGCCUACGUCGGAUUAGCUAGUUGGUGAGGUAAUGGCUCACCAAGGCGACGAUCCGUAACUGGUCUGAGAGGAUGAUCAGUCACACCGGAACUGAGACACGGUCCGGACUCCGUACGGGAGGCAGCAGUGGGGAAUAGUUGGACAAGUGGGCGCAAGCCUGAUCCAGCAAUGCCGCGUGUGUGAAGAACGGCCGUUGGUUAGUAACGCUAACGUUUAAGUUAGGG